AUACGGAGGAUGCAAGCGUUGUCCGGAUUUACUGGGUGUAAAGGGCGUGUAGGCGGAGAUGCAAGUCAGGAGUGAAAUCUAGGGGCUCAACCCCUAAACUGCUUUUGAAACUGUAUCCCUUGAGUAUCGGAGAGGCAGGCGGAAUUCCUAGUGUAGCGGUGAAAUGCGUAGAGAUCGGGAGGAACACCAGUGGCGAAGGCGGGUAACUGGACUGCAACUGACGCUGAGGCGCGAAAGUGUGGGGAGCAAACAGGAUUAGAUACCCUGGUAGUCCACACUGUAAACGAUGAAUGCUAGGUGUAAGAGGUAUCGACCCCUUUUGUGCCGGAGUCAACACAAUAAGCAUUCCGCCUGGGGAGUACGGCCGCAAGGUUGAAACUCAAAUGAAUUGACGGGG
RNAcentral lists this ribosomal RNA (397 nucleotides) under uncultured bacterium. Its description in RNAcentral is "partial 16S ribosomal RNA". It matches the Rfam family "Bacterial small subunit ribosomal RNA", at positions 523 to 918 of the family's 1533-position model. The record is from RNAcentral.